GGUGAACGUUGGCGGUGCGUCUAAUACAUGCAAGUCGGGCGAGGCUUCGAGCCGAGCGGCAGACGGCUGAGUAACACGUUGGUAACUAACUCAAACGCAGGGAUAACUCCGAGAAAUCGGUGCUAAUACCGGAUGGUGCCGUAAGGGGAAAGGUUUUACGGCUUGAGAGGGGCCUGCGGCCUAUCAGGUAGUUGGUGAGGUAACGGCUAACUAAGCCGAUGACGGGUAACUGGGCGGAGUGGAUGACCAGUCAGGGGGAAACUGAGACACGGUUCCCACGUCUACGGAAGGAAGCAGUAAAGUAUCAUACACAGUGGACGACAGUCUGAUCGAGCGACAGCGCGUGAAGGCGGACGGCCCUUGGGUCGUAAACUGCUUUUUUGGGGGAAAGAUUCUGACUGUACCCGAAGAAUAAGCACCGGCAAAUCACGUG
RNAcentral lists this ribosomal RNA (433 nucleotides) under uncultured bacterium. Its description in RNAcentral is "partial 16S ribosomal RNA". It matches the Rfam family "Bacterial small subunit ribosomal RNA", at positions 28 to 507 of the family's 1533-position model. The record is from RNAcentral.